This 85-nucleotide long non-coding RNA is filed under the name Numida meleagris (helmeted guineafowl). RNAcentral describes it as "lncRNA (ENSNMEG00000012467.1)". The record is from RNAcentral. Lineage: Eukaryota; Metazoa; Chordata; Aves; Galliformes; Numididae.
ACUAGAUCUAACUUGUCCUGAAGGCACAGCACUCCUCUUGCUUGGAUGUAAAUCUAGGAUUUACAACGAUUAACUAAAAAUGAAG